Molecule: ribosomal RNA, 1381 nt
Filed under: metagenome
Description: bacterial SSU rRNA
Rfam family: Bacterial small subunit ribosomal RNA
Source: RNAcentral
AGAGUUUGAUCCUGGCUCAGGAUGAACGCUAGCGGCAGGCCUAACACAUGCAAGUCGAGGGGUAACGAUGUGCUUGCACCAGGCGACGACCGGCGCACGGGUGAGUAACGCGUAUGCAACCUACCUCUAACUGGGGCAUAGCUCUCGGAAACGGGAAUUAAUAUCCCAUAAUAUCAUAAAUUCGCAUGUUUUUAUGAUUAAAGCUCCGGCGGUUAGAGAUGGGCAUGCGUGCCAUUAGCUUGUUGGUGAGGUAACAGCUCACCAAGGCUACGAUGGCUAGGGGGUCUGAGAGGAUGGUCCCCCACACUGGCACUGAGACACGGACCAGACUCCUACGGGAGGCAGCAGUGAGGAAUAUUGGUCAAUGGACGCAAGUCUGAACCAGCCAUGCCGCGUGCAGGAUGAAUGCCCUAUGGGUUGUAAACUGCUUUUAUACAGGAAGAAACUUCCGAUCGUGAUCGGGACUGACGGUACUGUACGAAUAAGCAUCGGCUAACUCCGUGCCAGCAGCCGCGGUAAUACGGAGGAUGCAAGCGUUAUCGGAUUUAUUGGGUUUAAAGGGUGCGUAGGCGGAUGAAUAAGUCAGUGGUGAAAUCCUGCAGCUUAACUGUAGAAUUGCCAUUGAUACUGUUUUUCUUGAGUAUAGUUGAGGUGGGCGGAAUGUGUAAUGUAGCGGUGAAAUGCUUAGAUAUUACACAGAACUCCAAUUGCGUAGGCAGCUCACUAAGCUAUUACUGACGCUGAGGCACGAAAGCGUGGGGAGCGAACAGGAUUAGAUACCCUGGUAGUCCACGCUGUAAACGAUGAUCACUCGUUGUUGGCGAUACACAGUCAGUGACCAAGCGAAAGCAUUAAGUGAUCCACCUGGGGAGUACGGUCGCAAGAUUGAAACUCGAAGGAAUUGACGGGGGCCCGCACAAGCGGAGGAACAUGUGGUUUAAUUCGAUGAUACGCGAGGAACCUUACCUGGGCUUAAAUGCAGAACGACAGAUUGGGAAACUGAUCCUUCUUCGGACGGACUGCAAGGUGCUGCAUGGUUGUCGUCAGCUCGUGCCGUGAGGUGACGGGUUAAGUCCCAUAACGAGCGCAACCCUUAUCGUUAGUUACCAGCGAGUAAUGUCGGGAACUCUAACGAAACUGCCGGUGUAAACCGAGAGGAAGGUGGGGAUGACGUCAAAUCAGCACGGCCCUUAUGUCCAGGGCUACACACGUGUUACAAUGGUCAGUACAAAGGGCAGCUACCUGGUGACAGGAUGCUAAUCUCGAAAACUGGUCUCAGUUCGGAUCGAAGUCUGCAACUCGACUUCGUGAAGCUGGAUUCGCUAGUAAUCGCGCAUCAGCCAUGGCGCGGUGAAUACGUUCCCGGGCCUUGUACACACCG